Molecule: small nuclear RNA, 118 nt
Filed under: Sinocyclocheilus rhinocerous
Lineage: Eukaryota; Metazoa; Chordata; Actinopteri; Cypriniformes; Cyprinidae
Description: U5 spliceosomal RNA (ENSSRHG00000000561.1)
Rfam family: U5 spliceosomal RNA
About the family: U5 RNA is a component of both types of known spliceosome. The precise function of this molecule is unknown, though it is known that the 5' loop is required for splice site selection and p220 binding, and that both the 3' stem-loop and the Sm site are important for Sm protein binding and cap methylation.
Source: Rfam by way of RNAcentral
AAACUCAUGUUUGACCUCAGAUCGUAUAAAUCUUUCGUCUUAUACUAAAGAUUUCUGUGGGGAGAAGCGCCAUGAGUAAUAUCUCAUUUUGAUGGUUGUCUUGUAUUAAUGCGAGGCU